GACAGAGGGUGCAAACGUUGCUCGGAAUCACUGGGCGUAAAGGGCGUGUAGGCGGAGAAGUAAGUCGGGCGUGAAAUCCCCAGGCUUAACCUGGGAACUGCAUCCGAUACUGGAUGGCUUGAAUCCGGGAGAGGGAUGCAGAAUUCCAGGUGUAGCGGUGAAAUGCGUAGAUAUCUGGAGGAAUACCGGUGGCGAAGGCGGCAUCCUGGACCGGCAUUGACGCUGAGUGAGCGAAAGCCAGGGGAGCAAACGGG
Molecule: ribosomal RNA, 254 nt
Filed under: uncultured bacterium
Lineage: Bacteria
Description: partial 16S ribosomal RNA
Rfam family: Bacterial small subunit ribosomal RNA
Source: RNAcentral